AACGAACGCUGGCGGCAGGCCUAACACAUGCAAGUCGAACGGGAUCUUCGGAUCUAGUGGCGGACGGGUGAGUAACGCGUGGGAACGUACCCUUUGGUUCGGAAUAGCCCUGGGAAACUGGGAGUAAUACCGGAUACGGUCGAGAGAUGAAAGAUUUAUCGCCGAAGGAUCGGCCCGCGUUGGAUUAGGUAGUUGGUGGGGUAAUGGCCUACCAAGCCGACGAUCCAUAGCUGGUUUGAGAGGAUGAUCAGCCACACUGGGACUGAGACACGGCCCAGACUCCUACGGGAGGCAGCAGUGGGGAAUCUUAAACAAUGGGGGAAACCCUGAUCUAGCCAUGCCGCGUGAGCGAUGAAGGCCUUAGGGUUGUAAAGCUCUUUCAGUGGGGAAGAUAAUGACGGUACCCACAGAAGAAGCCCCGGCUAACUCCGUGCCAGCAGCCGCGGUAAAGUCUGUACU
RNAcentral lists this ribosomal RNA (459 nucleotides) under uncultured bacterium. RNAcentral describes it as "bacterial SSU rRNA". It matches the Rfam family "Bacterial small subunit ribosomal RNA", at positions 29 to 531 of the family's 1533-position model. The record is from RNAcentral.